GGGGAAUAUUGCACAAUGGGGGGAACCCUGAUGCAGCAACGCCGCGUGAGUGAAGAAGUAUUUCGGUAUGUAAAGCUCUAUCAGCAGGGAAGAAAAUGACGGUACCUGACUAAGAAGCUCCGGCUAAAUAC
Molecule: ribosomal RNA, 131 nt
Filed under: uncultured bacterium
Lineage: Bacteria
Description: partial 16S ribosomal RNA
Rfam family: Bacterial small subunit ribosomal RNA
Source: RNAcentral